GAGGAAGGUGGGGACGACGUCAAGUCAUCAUGGCCCUUACGUCCAGGGCUGCACACGUGCUACAAUGGUUGGUACAAUGGGUCGCCACCCAGCGAUGGGGCGCAAAUCUAUAAAACCAAUCUCAGUUCGGAUCGGAGUCUGCAACUCGACUCCGUGAAGUUGGAAUCGCUAGUAAUCGCGUAUCAGCAAUGACGCGGUGAAUACGUUCCCGGGCCUUGUACACACCGCCCGUCACACCAUGGAAGUUGGCC
Molecule: ribosomal RNA, 251 nt
Filed under: Goniomonas pacifica
Lineage: Eukaryota; Cryptophyceae; Goniomonadida; Goniomonadaceae
Description: partial Bacterial small subunit ribosomal RNA
Rfam family: Bacterial small subunit ribosomal RNA
Source: RNAcentral